RNAcentral lists this ribosomal RNA (254 nucleotides) under uncultured microorganism. RNAcentral's name for it is "partial 16S ribosomal RNA". It matches the Rfam family "Archaeal small subunit ribosomal RNA", at positions 474 to 727 of the family's 1478-position model. The record is from RNAcentral.
CACCGGCGGCUCGAGUGGUGGCCACUUUUAUUGGGUCUAAAGCGUCCGUAGCCGGCUUGGCAAGUCCCCUGGGAAAUCUGGCGGCUUAACCGUCAGGCUGCCAGGGGAUACUGGUCGGCUUGGGACCGGGAGAGGUGAGAGGUACCUCGGGGGUAGGGGUGAAAUCUUGUAAUCCUCGAGGGACCACCAGUGGCGAAGGCGUCUCACCAGAACGGAUCCGACGGCAAGGGACGAAAGCUAGGGGCACGAACCGG